CCUAAGUACUGGGAACUUGUUCAUAUCUGUAGUAGCAGCAAACACGGAGUGGUUAAUGGAGAAGAUUAUCUUCGCCACUAAUAAUUUUGAUUUUUCAGAAGAAUGAAGAAAAGCUAAACUUUGAGUGAAUGCGUGUUAACACUUGCAGUUUUCUGAAGAAGAAAAGCUUCAGGCUUCUGCAGUUUUCAUUCUUCACGGCGCAGAGGUUACAGAGGGCAGAUGAUGUGUGCAAGGAAGGAAAAAUGCAGACAAGCAACGCCGAAGAUGUCUUCAAAGCGCUUGAUGAGAUUGACUUCCCAGAGUUAGUAGAGCCCCUGUGGACUGCAUUGGAAGACAAGGAAGAACUGCAUUGAAAUAUUUUCUUUGGAGAGGGAUUAGAUAAGGCCUAUGAGUCCUAAGUAAGCGGGAUGAGCAUGUCCUGCACUUCUAUUUACUAUUAAGCACGAACUGAAUUUCUGAUAAUCGCGUGAUGACAAUCAAUCCAACUGUUACCUUUGGGGUGCUUUUUGGAUGGACCAAUCUGAAAAUGUUGGCUAGCUUGCACCGCCAUCAUAUAAUCUAGAAGCAAGGGAAAUGAUUAUAGGGAAAAUAAAGGCAAUUCGCCAUCAGGAGGAAAUGCCAACCAAUACAUUUUUUACUUCCUCUGUUACAGAGGUAAAAUUACUACUACUUCUCGAAAGCUUUUUUUGUUGCAUGUUCCCCUUUCUUAAUCUUCUAUUUGUUCAAAUGUACAUACACGAGCUUAUAAUCCUUAUUACACAAUGCAUCUCACCAUACUAUUGUUUUCGUGAAAAUUUAUACUCACAUAGUUCCAUUUUUGUGUGGGUGAUCUUCUGUUGCCCUGAUUUGGUGUUCAUGUAGCAUGGGACAUUAUAGGCUCAUUUUAUUUUCUCUUUGUUCAUGCACUAAUGCAUAAAUCUUUUGGUAUUGCCCUUAUUACUUUGUCUAAAGCUAUGCAAUGACAACCAUGGCUUUAUUGUAUCAGUAAAAAAGUAUACCCAGUCAAGUACCUUAUACCAGUACCUUAAUUAGCCUCUUCUGACUAUUGACUGUUUGAAUUGCUAUAGCAGGACUCAGAUUUCAAUGUUAUUAGGCUUGUGGACAUGUUUUUAUUUUAGAUUGUACAGUCUUAGGGUCUUUUGGCUUCAGGUUGCUGCUGCACAAAAAGUACACUAAACUCAGAUGAUGCAUGAAAAAAACUGCAAACCUAACAUAGUUUUUUUAUUCGGAUUUUUUUUGUGAUGCCCUUAUGUUAAAAUGCUUAUUUGUUCUCCAAGUAGGCCAACGACGGCUGCUAGCAAUGAUACAUACAUAUCAACAAUUACAAGGAAGUGCAUAUGUCAGGAUGCAUAGCAUAAUAUAUAUGUUAAUGUUAAUUAGAAAAUACUCUUCAGCAUCUGAAGCAUCUAAAGGCGAUCACUCAACUACGUAUUAUAUACAAUAUACCCAGCUCGAUGGUUUGAGCAAUCCCAACCACUAAUUAGUACUCCAGCGUUGAAUCACUCAUCUAAGUAUCAACACUGCUCUCGAGACUUGCCUAUUAACAUAGUAGUGAUAGGUCCUCGGUGUUCGUUCUUACUCUCUCUUUUCCGAGUCUUUGGUUUCUCUUCCUGUUUGUCUGACAAUUACCAGUUAGUGCAUUGUACAAAGUGUAUACUGUUUGACAUUGACACGAAAGGCAGAAAACACACAAAAUGCAUAAUUUCCAAGACAUGAAUCUACUAACCUCAUUCUCAUGUUAUCAUUCUAAUUAUUAUUUUUUGUUAGUCAAUACAAAAGUAGUUUUGACUGUAGUCAUUCUAAAACCGUAUUUGUUUGCCUCCGCACAUAGUUAAACUCGGUCUCAUGACACCAUUUGUUGUCUUCAGAUUUAGAUAAAAGCAUCACAGUUAUCAAUUUAAUUAGUAGCACCACCGCUAUGUGAUUAGGACAUCAUGCUGGCCAUCGAGGAUGAUCUGAUCAUGCAGUUCUUGUUUACUGCCGCACAUACUUCGCAACCUGCCCUAUGGACUGCAGUUUCAUUUUUUGGGGGUUCUAGAGAUAUGUUAUUUGCAAGGAGCAUCCUGAUUUCUUCAGUUGCAAUUGUUUUGUUCAUUUCCUUUUUGCCUUCUUGAUUGGCUCAAACAUGCUCAUUGUGAAAGGGCGAGGAGCCGCCGCCAUGUUUCUCCCCGAGCUCCGUGGUAGAAUGGUCUGUUUGUAUCAGAUUGUGUUUAGUAGAUGUGAAGAGCUCAGUUCUCGUAAGCUACACCCUGAGGCGUGCAACAGGUAUGUGGAGAUUAAGGAGCGUGCCCAUGUGAGUGGUUUUGAUUUUGUUGUGCCAAUAUCUCCGGUGGCAGGGAUUCACUUCUUCUUUUUUGGUGAUAGUCAGGAGGAUGUUAUAUAGUUUGAUGUUUCUGAAUUUUAACAAUCAUGUUUUACAGUACCCUUGACAUGAAUGAGAUGACUGGGCUUAAAUGAGAACGAUGAGAACCAUCCUGUUCUCCGUCGCAAUCAGCAUGUGUUUAAACUACUACUGCAGCAAAUGUUUGUCGUACCUUCAGUUUGUGCCGCAGAAUCUGUAAUUCAUUGGCACUUUUGUGUGUGUUUGAUUUAGUAUCUUUACCCAGGUGCUUGCUAGAGGAGAAGAUUAAUGGUCCGACACGGCUUCAUGAUUUAUGAGGUAGAGGAGAGGGCAUUGGAUGAACCAAUCAGUUCGAAGCUGUAGAGUUUGGAGGUGUAUGUUAAUAAAGGGAGGAAGUUGAUCACAAGUUUUCUUUCAGCCAUUGGUGAGUUACAAGUCAGCCCUAUCUCACCUCACUAAAUCUGCAACUCAUGCUUUUUUCUUGCUUGAUAUUAAUUCUCGAUAUUCUUGUCACAUCCUUACAGGGAUAUCAUGUGCAUAUGUAUGAGUUUGCUUUGCUUCGGUUGAAGAUAUAUGUGUGCCUGAAGAUACAAUCUUACAUGCAUUUUCUGUAUGAUAUGAGCACUCUUUCGUUCUCUGCGUGUACGUAGGUUGCAAGAAUGAGAAGGCUCCUCCGUGCUCAACAGGAAGAGAUAGGGUUGCAGUCGCACCGCACGACGGCAGGCCAUGGCGACCCGCACCACACCAGGGAGGCUAGGGCGAGCUCCAGCGCGAGCGAGCGCACCCGUCGCCCACGCCGGCGGGGUCCCGGCCACGAGCAACAGGAACACAGGGUCCCUGACCACGGUUGGAUCUCCUCCUUCUCCAUCCACAUGCGUGCAGCAACAGCUAGCAGCCGCACGGGUCUGAGCUCGGCCGCUCAAGUAGGGUGGCUUCCAUGCUGUAGCUAUUGUUCUUUUCUCCGUUUCUCUGAAGAUGCUUGCUAUCUUCAGAUCUUGCCGAGUAUUCGUCUGAGAUUCACUGUCUUGAUUUAGUUAGUGGUUUGGAUAGUAGUACUCCAUGAAUUUUCAUUUGACCCGCUGUCUGCCGCCGCCGCCGGUAAAUUGGAUAAUUGCUGCAGUUUCACAUCCCUGAACCCAAACCCUAAGACUUAGUUCUGAAAUAUUCAGACCAUAUUUACUGAAGUGUGUCAGUGUUGGUUUACUUGUGAUACUUGCUCCAUUGUUGUGUUUAAUCAUAUUGUCCGGUCUUAGCAUAUGCUAUGCUCGCCAAGUUCAACUAUCAAUAUCUAAUUUCUCAAUUGAUUUUGACACCUUGCUCUUCUGCAGUUUUGUUUCACUUUUCAAGGAUGAGUAUCUUUACUUUGAAAAUGAACUGGUCAUAUUUCUAUUGGAAAUGAAGUGAUGUUGCUUCCCAGGUAAAUAACUGAAAUGUUUGUUUGGAGGUUAAUUUAAAAUUUUUUUGUCGAUUCACAGCUUCUCACAUGUACCAUUCUCUUAGACCUUUAGAUUCCCAAAGAAAUUAAAUGAAGAUAUGGUGGUAUGGUCUCAAUAGUACAACUUAAAGCCUUCCAUGCUUUAUAUUUUCUCUGAAAUUUGUUCUUUAUGUUAGAUCCGGUGAGAAAAGGCGGCUUUCAAGAAGAGGAUGCGGGAGUGUUGGCCACAUUUGGUUUUCGACUUGGGUGUCUAAAUAUUCUCACAAUACUUGGCUCCUUUUCGCCCCUUGCGCCAUUGGCGUAACGAGUCAUCUAGUUAGUAGUACACCCCAACGGGAUACUCUAUUCUAAGCAGUGUCUUAAGAACCCCAACUCGGUACCAGCGGCAUCCGAUGCUAUUUUGGCCCCUCCCAAGGUCGCAUCUCAACCUUGGCUAACCGGCAGGUAGAACAUUUUGUAUCUACGGUAAACAGUACAAGGAAAAGCUCCACAUCUCCAUAAACUAUGCUACGUGAAUCUCUCAGAAUCUCCAAUGUGUAUUGACU
Long non-coding RNA from Triticum aestivum (bread wheat), 4321 nucleotides. RefSeq lists it as uncharacterized. The transcript has 5 exons. The record is from RefSeq and is a predicted model, not a curated record. Lineage: Eukaryota; Viridiplantae; Streptophyta; Magnoliopsida; Poales; Poaceae.